CCUACGGGGGGCAGCAGUGGGGGAUAUUGCACAAUGGGGGAAACCCUGAUGCAGCGACGCCGCGUGAGGGAAGAAGUAUUUCGGUAUGUAAAGCCCUGUCAGCAGGGAAGAAAAAGACGGUACCCGACCAAGAAGCCCCGGCUAACUACGUGCCAGCAGCCGCGGUAAUACGUAGGGGGCGAGCGUUGUCCGGAAUUACUGGGUGUAAAGGGAGCGUAGGCGGGCCUGAAAGGCUGGAGUGAAAGGCGGCGGCCCAACCUCGGGACUGCGUUGGAAACUGCGUGGCUGGAGUGCAGGAGAGGUAAGCGGAAUUCCUAGUGUAGCGGUGAAAUGCGUAGAUAUUAGGAGGAACACCAGUGGCGAAGGCGGCUUACUGGACUGUAACUGACGUUGAGGCUCGAAAGCGUGGGGAGCAAACAGGAUUAGAUACCCCAGUAGUC
Molecule: ribosomal RNA, 440 nt
Filed under: uncultured bacterium
Lineage: Bacteria
Description: partial 16S ribosomal RNA
Rfam family: Bacterial small subunit ribosomal RNA
Source: RNAcentral